This 21-nucleotide microRNA is filed under the name Ornithorhynchus anatinus (platypus). RNAcentral describes it as "oan-miR-1333". Lineage: Eukaryota; Metazoa; Chordata; Mammalia; Monotremata; Ornithorhynchidae. The record is from miRBase by way of RNAcentral.
UCAAAACAGACAAACAGGAAU